Long non-coding RNA from Oreochromis aureus, 895 nucleotides. RefSeq lists it as uncharacterized. NCBI's taxonomy places the organism in Eukaryota, Metazoa, Chordata, Actinopteri, Cichliformes, Cichlidae. The transcript has 2 exons. The record is from RefSeq and is a predicted model, not a curated record.
AAUGUGUCUAUUAUCAUCCAUUUCGUAAGGAAACAUGUUCAAAUACAAAUAGUAAGAACUUCAUUAUUAUUUUGGUUUAUUAAUUAGCUCUUUCUUCCACUGCACUGUAAUCCCAAAAGUUAUUUGCAUUCAAAUGGUUUAGCUAUAAUCACUGAUGGUAAUUAAUUUUCUUUGUAAAACUAAAAUCAUAUAACUGUGUCAGACAGAACUCAUUGGUGGAAGCUUUUUGCACUUAACCUAUAUUGUUUUGCAUGUGAUGCACUAAAAUGAAUACAUUUAACAUGGUCCUUUCUAUUUUAAGUUUAUUCUAAUAAAUAGUUUAAGUUCAAUUAUUUAUAAGAGAAUAAGUUUUAAACUCAACACUCAAAUAAUAAAAGUAAAUUUGAUGUUUACUGAUUAUGUUUAGUUGAAAGCACUUUCACUAUUUUUAAGUUUUUGUUGCCCCUCCCAUAUUUUUCCCGGCACUGGAACCGAAGAGACGUCUGGACUUGUUUGUCAGAAAAAAUUAAGACAAGUCGUUUUUGGUGGUUUUGCCUGGGAUUGGACAUGUUUGUUUCAGUCUACAGUCGAUAGGGAGUACUUUUCCUCAAACCUCCACGCAAACUGAAUGCUGCUGAUGGUGACCUUGAAAUCCCAAUAGGAAUCAUCUUCAAUGGUGAAAACGGAAGUCCAGAGCAAGAACUGAACCCCUCCCAGCUGGGGAUCCUUCUAGAGGGCAAUGUGGUAAUGGAUUCCAUCUGCAGUCUUCCUUUGGCAAUGUGUCUCCUGUUUGGACUGACUUAUGCACUCCACUUGGAGUACCCAAAGUGCAUGAAGAAUACAUUCCUGUUUAUCCAGCAGAUUAUGCUGAAUCUGGGACGAAACGAUCCUCCUCCAAAACUCCAAAGGCUAAAAA